Molecule: long non-coding RNA, 5171 nt
Filed under: Sus scrofa (pig)
Lineage: Eukaryota; Metazoa; Chordata; Mammalia; Artiodactyla; Suidae
Description: lncRNA (ENSSSCG00055017088.1)
Source: RNAcentral
UUCCUGAAUUCUAUCAAGCCAAGCUUCCCUGACUCCCACUUCCUCCUCCCAGGAAGAAAUGGUUUUCUUAAAGGGUUUCACCUAGAACUGCGCAUAAAACUAUUGCUCUAUUAAUACAGAAAAAGAGAGCUUUUAUUAGAUCUGAAACUAUAGUCUACAAAACUAUGCACAGCAGCCUGUGAUUUAUUUUUACUAUUUCAAAGAGCCUAAGAGAAAUUUACUAUUUCUCAUAAUGAGGAUGAAUGGAGUAACUAAACUGUUAAGUUUAUUUUAAAUAAGAUUUUUUNCUUUUUGUGCCUGCACCCAGGGCACAUGGAGGUUCCCAGGCUAGGGGUCGAAUCGGAGCUGUAGCCACUGGCCUACGCCAGAGCCACAGCAACGCGGGAUCUGAGCCUCAUCUGAAACCUACACCACAGUUUACGGCAACGCCGGUUCCUUAACUCACUGAACAGGGCCAGGGAUCAAACCUGCAUCCUCAUGGAUACUAGGCAGAUUUCGUUUCUGCUGAGCCAAGACAGGAACUCCAGAAAUCAAAUUAUCUUGAUUGCAUUAUAUUAUCUCAGAUUUUUGAUCAUAUGAAGUUCUAAAUAUUUUCAUUAUUAAAAACCAGGAAAAUUAACCAUUGAUUUAUACAAGCAUUUUAGUGUUAAGAAGCUUUCAAAAUAUGUGAUGCUUUGGUUAAAAAACAACUAGAGUAGUAACGAGAUCAAAAGAUUGGUAACUGUUCUCCAUGUCUAUUAAAAUAGUCGAUUAAAUGUUAGUUCUUUUAUAAGACAAGAUUCUUGGAAUCGGAAGAACUGGAGUGCAUCCAGGCUAUGCUGGUUGAUUGUUUUGAGAGCUUGAAUAAAUUAUAUAACCUCACUGAAUAUCGGUUACUGUCUUUUUAAAUGAGGAGAAUGUCAGUAUUUGCUUAUUUUUGAUUUGGUCGCACCUUACCUAAUUCCAUGAAAGAUCUUAUAUAUAAUAUCAUAUAAGAGAAAGAUUACAUUAUAAGUGGAAACUACUCAAAAAUUGGUUUUACCCUAGGGAAUAUUUUUAUUGCUCUCAAGGUUAUUCUAGUCCCAGAAAAAAUACUUUUGAAAAAAAUUAUGAUUUGUUACUAGCACAUGGACAGUAUCUGUGAUUAUCACCAGGUUUGUGGCUUGUUAGGAGGCUUUCUGCAUCCAUUGGCACUUCUUAAGGAAAUAUAGGUUAGACUAGAAAACAAUGAGAGAGGUUUACAAUGUUAUUUUCAUGUUUUAUGAUAAAAAUUAUAAAUAAAUGAAAGCAAAAACAAACAAACAAAUAAAACCCAUGUCCUUUGCAAGGUUAAGCAAUCUUGGAUUAACCGUGGAUUACCCUAGCAAUUUUUAUUUAUCUAGACCCAGGAACAGCAAACUCUGGACCUUGGGCAAAAAUCUGACCAAUGCCUAGAUUUGUUAAGUCCCAGAUCUAAGAAUGGUUUUUAUGUUUUUAACGGUUGGAAACAAUCAAAAGUACAAUAAAAUUGGGAUACAUAUGAAAAUUAUAAGAGAUUCAAAUUUUAGCAACCAUAAAUAAAUUAUUACUGGAACACAGCCUCAUUUAUAUAUGUGUCCCCAGUGGCAGUGAGUAAUUGUGACAGAGACUAGCUCUCAAAGCUUAAAAUAUAUAUAUACUUCCCAGCACUUUACCAAGAUGUUUGCCCUGGUCUACAUGGCACAGAAUUGAACCCUUUCCACUAAAGACUUUCUUACUGUUUAUUUUUGAGUCAUAAAGUAAAUACGACUUUGGAGGUGAAAACUUACACUUAAUGCAUGUGAAAUCUUUUUAAUCAUUAUGAUGGGACCUUUUCUUUUCAGACAUUUAAUAUGUGGAAGCACUUAACUAGAAAUUAGAAAGUUUUAGACAAAUGGUAUAAAAGAAAUAGUUAUUGAAAUGUUACUGAAAUAAAUUUUGACUUAAAAUGGAUUUAAGUGACUGAUACUCUAAAAUUAAAAAAAAUAUUUUUAAUAUUUUAAGUUAUAUAUUUAAGUGUGUAUAUAUGUGGAUUAUAUACAUACACACACACAUAUAUAUAUUUUACAUAUAUACAUAAACACAUUUUUGUCCCCCUACAUACGCAAAGAAUACAUACAUAAGAACACAGGCAGGACACAUUAAAUACUAGCUCCAGCCUCUGGUAUUAAUUACAGUGCUAGUGCCUGAAUCUCUACUCUGCUCCCUUGUGGCUACUUGGGGAAUUACAUUGUCCUUGCCUUAGUUUCUUCAUUCUUGAAAUGUGGAGGAUAAUAAUUAUAAUAAUAAACACCUACUUCAGAGAGUUGAUCUAGAGAAUUAAAUAAGGUACACAGAAAGCACAUAGGGCAGAGAGCCCAUAUUAAGCACACAGAGCACAUAUUAAGCCCUGAACAAUUUUAGUUAACAAUGAUUCUUCUGGUCGUUGUUGUGUUUUCUUUUCCCCACCAUCAGAAGGGUCUACAAAUACAAGAAAACACCUUCAGGGACAUGUCAUCUGUAUGGUGAGUCCAGGAAAGAAAUGAGUCCAUUAACCUGAAUAUUUACUCAGUAAAAAUAUUUAUGUGUGUCAUGAAUGCUACGGAUGGUGUGGAAAGGACAACAGCUGCUAAGAUUUUCCCCUAUCAUCUUUAGCAAUGUUGAUUGCCCUGAAAAUGUCUGCUAGUUAAUCGAAGGAAACUUUUGUAACAAGGAAGGAGAAAAGAACUAUGGACAUUUUCCAUGUUCUUUUAGGAGUUAUGGCAAUGAAAAAGUUUUACCUGUUCUUAGAACAAGAUUUGUUUUUAUCAUUCAUCUAAAAGUGCGGAGCAUAUAAUAGUAAAUUAUAAAAAUUGUUAUUAGUAAGGUUUAGAAAAGUAUGAGGACAUACUAAUAACCAAAGCCCUACAGAAUACAAAAAUAAUUUUUAAAAGUCAUAAAAUUUUGAAAAUUUGAAAAAAAAUGUUUGCAGAAAUAUAUGGGGGAGGAGAUGCUUUUUGGUGUUUUAUUUCAUUUAUUCUGCUUUUGCGUAUUUCACUAUCUAGUGCUUCCAUGUAUGCAUGUAAUGUUGCAUCUAUCACAUUUCUCCUGCUGGAUUAGAUUUUUGGCCAAUGAUGAAUAAUAAAAUAUGACUAAGUUGUAAAUGUAUUAGAUGACGAGCCAUUAUGAAGCUUGAUUUAUAAAACUCUUCAAUAUAUAGCUGAAUGAUUAUAGCAAUUGUUUAUAGACAAUAUUGUAAUGACUAUUUAGGGUAGAACUUGUCUUUGAAUGAUGAGUUUCCUAUUCUUGAUGAGCCUUCAUUACUAGUGUAUCUUUUCCCAAAAUGUGUCUCUGCUGCAGUGUUGCUACUAACCUAUACAGAAGCAAAUAAACAGAGGAGGCUUGAAAUUGCUUUCCUUGCAAAUGGUUACUUGUAAGGCUAUCACUUGGCAGUUGCCCAUGAACCUGACUGGAAAACAGCUCCCUACACUAAUGUAAAACUUUCUCUAAAUGAUAAGAGCAGUAUACUGUGCCUAAACUGUUUGUGCAAACAGCAUGCUUUGUAUUGAACACCUGCUUUUCUUCUGGGGGACUGAAUCUGUUAUUUGCUGGAUAGAAGGUGCCUACUAACCCAGCAUAAAUAUCUUUGACUUCUAGUCUCAGGCCAGCUUCCCUAGUAGAUGACUUUUCUCUUGUGUUGCCACAAUACGCUGCUGGAGGACUUAAGUGCCUUCUGUGUGAUUCCAGUAGGAGAAGAUUCUUGGAAGCCGCCACCCAGUGUUCUCUGGAUUUCACCUUACCUGUGUUUUCUCUCUGUUGAUUUUCUUUGGACUCUUUUGCAGCAUGCUGAAAAUCUGGUGGGGACGAAUCCCAGAAGAGUUGUUUUAUAAUUCUAGAUAAACUUUGAAAUUGAGUUUACGUUUAUCACCACAGAUUGGGAGCACAUGAUGAAAAUUUCUUGAAGGAAAUACAAAAGGUGUUAACAGUCACUGAAUAUUCUGAGCUAUUCAGAAAUGCUGCAGUGAUGUAUUUAAUAGUUGUAUUAUCUAAGUUUAAUGUUAGGUCUGUGUGAGCUUAAGGCCGGUGCACCAACCGUUAUGCUGUACAAAUUCUCCUUAAAAAAUCAGAGAGAAGAGUUGCCUUCUGUUUUGUUCUAAAUAUGUUUGUGAUAAGUGUUUAUGGAUUUAAGUGCUGCCGAGCAUAAUGACAACUCAGUGUGCAGAAAGGUCAUGCCCAAGAGAACUGUACAGACAUAAGGCAGCUGAUAAGUAUGGCCCAGAGCAUUUGCAUAAAUUUUUGGUCACCUCCUCAUAUGGGUCACUGUCACGCAUUUUCCAACUUGACAGGUUACAUAUUGGGUGGUUGCCAAAUGAUUAGAACACAGCUAUCCUGGAUUUAUAAGGGAAGUGCUCAAAAUGGGAGAGGGAGGUCUCUCCCUUCAGCCUUUGUUCCUUUAGACAUUUGCAUCUAAAACUUCUGCAUUUUCCUUCAUGACUUUCGACCCCACAAUUUUUCCCCAUGGAGUUAACUAAUAAUGAUAUAACCAUUCGUCAUUCAAUGCUUGUAGGCAAAGACCAUACUAUUCAUUUUCUAGAAAAAAAUAAAUAUAAGCAAAGUAGCUAAGGAAGCAAGAGAAGAAUCUAUUUACAGAGUUUUGUCUCUCCUGUAAUUAUAACAUGCACUAAAUAUUUAAAGAAGGCAGGGUUCAAAACAGCAAUUCAUAUAUAGCUGUUGUUCCUUCCCAAGAGAGAAUAAAGAAAAAGUGAAAAUGUCAACUGUAACAAGAAAAGUUAUCCUAGGAGCUCCUGUUGUGGCUCAGUGGGUUAAGAACCUCACUAGUAUCCAUGGGGAUGCAGGUUUGAUCCAUGGCCUCGCUCAAUGGGUUAAGGAUCCGGCGUUGUUGCAAGCCACAGUGUUUGUUGUAGACACAGCUCAGAUCCUGCAUGGCUGUGAUAGGCUGGCAGGAGAAGCUCUAAUUUGACCCCUUUCCUGAGAACCUCCAUAUGCCAAGGGUGCAGCCCUAGAAAGAAAAAAGAAAAAAAAAAGUUGUCCUAGAGAUGAAAGACUCAAAGGAAAGGAUAUAAAAGGAGAAUGGAAAGUAUAUAUUAAAAGGUUUUAGCUACAAGUAUUAAAUAACCAACAUUAGAUAAGUUUUGAAGAAAGCUAAAAAAAUAAUUCUGGUGGUCCGUAGAAGUAUUUUCUUCAUAGAAAAUACAGAGAGUUAAAGACAAAAAAAA